RNAcentral lists this ribosomal RNA (442 nucleotides) under uncultured bacterium. RNAcentral describes it as "partial 16S ribosomal RNA". It matches the Rfam family "Bacterial small subunit ribosomal RNA", at positions 338 to 795 of the family's 1533-position model. The record is from RNAcentral.
CCUACGGGUGGCUGCAGUGGGGAAUAUUGGGCAAUGGGCGCAAGCCUGACCCAGCAACGCCGCGUGAAGGAAGAAUGCUUUCUGGUUGUAAACUUCUUUUUACAGGGAAGAGCUGAAGACGGUACCUGUCGAGUAAGCCACGGCUAACUACUUGCCAUCAGCCGCGGUAAUACGUAGGUGGCCGGCGUUGUCCGGAUUUACUGGGUUUAAAGGGCGUGUAGCCGGGCUUACAAGUCAGAUGUGAAAUCCGGGGGCGUAACCCCCGCAAUGCAUUUGAAACUGUUGGUCUUGAGUAUCGGAGAGGCAGGCGGAAUUACUAGUGUAGCGGUGAAAUGCGUAGAUAUUAGGAGGAACACCAGUGGCGAAGGCGGCCUGCUGGACGAAAACUGACGGUGAGGCGCGAAAGCGUGGGGAGCAAACAGGAUUAGAUACCCGUGUAGUC